UCAAUCCCGCUAUUUGACAGUGACGACGAAAUAAUUUUGUUAGAAGCGCGUUUUCAGGGGCAUUCGAAUACGUCGAGUAGGAAGUGAUCAACGGACCUGGCGGCUGCGUUUCAUUGGUCGAUGAUACGGAAGAUAUGGGACCGCAGUAUUAUUGUCACAGUGCGUAUGACACAUAGUAGAAACAUCUGCAGUUUGGAACUGUCGAAUUUAUGCGACGAUGAGUCUUCGGUAUAGACCUUGUUUUGCGUAUGUUUGCGGCGAAAGGAUUGUUGGAAUAAACAUCGAUAAACAAUUGGCUCUCUAUCCUACAGAGGAAUGCCAAAAGGAUUUUGACCUUCAGAGUGAUCAAAACGUUAUUGAACGAACCAGCUAGAAACCUGCAGCCGAAGUAAAAGUCCGACGAUGAAAGGUUCAGUGCUCUCGGUCUUUACCCCCGAACGAGUGCUUGCCUUGAACGGCUCUGGGACAUCUCACGACUUCAUUCGUGCUUCCAUUGGGAUCUACAAAUAAAUGUGAAAGAAAGGAGGCGCCUAGACCACAACCAGGACCGAAGGCCAUGUAAACGCUUCGAGCAUCACUGUAUUCACUCGAUAUUGUACGGCGUAGCAUUGGUGCGACUGGUGUUUUGACCAUAGCACAGGCAUCUCGAUUUACAUCACCACAACACGGUAUUAAGUGUGACGACACCUCCGGAAUCUACAACGCUUAGAGGUUGCGGUACGUUACCAUGACCGCUGUCCUCCAAGUCAGGUCAAACCAGCCUCAGUACUACCAACAUUACCCGUAUCCCUUUGACAACCGUCAUGAUCAUGGUUCUCGACUCGCUCGUCGUAACUGCUUGAUUGGCCUUAACUAGCCAGCUAAAAAUACCUCCCUCUCCCGGCAGCAUAUCUGUCCACCCACCCUUUUUUUCUUCCGACGCCGUUCACUUCACAGUUGCCCCAUCAUCUCAUCUUCUCGUGUCCCAUUCUAUUUGACCGAUCAGCCACGCGGUCCGCUGUGGCAAACGAGUAAGAACUGAUCCCGCGCUUCACGCUGGGCCCUUCACGCUUUGAUAGUUCUGGUUUCUAAGGAGGUGUCUCUCUCUUCCGCAUAAACUGCACCUAAAACCGGUUUCAUUGGUUGUCCACAGCAUGAGAGCAAGAUAGGAAAGGCGGCUCUAGGAGGUUGUGAAAUGGGGGUCCUAGAAGGCCAAUGCCUAAUACCAAGCUUCGUUCGUUGACUGUCGUUUCAUGACCACUCGCGUUACCUUCAGUUGGUUGUGAGCGGGGGUCUGUCGCCUCUGUUCCUGUUUUGCCAUGUUUUAUUUCUUUUUCUGUACUGCCACCAGUCGAUCAGUUACCAUGAGCAUGCUAUGUAAGUGGGUACAUGGCGAAACGGGAUAGGAAAAAAGCGAACGUCGGAUGGCCAAAUAGGCAAACAAAAUCGGCCAAUGACGAGAGUACAAUCCUCUACGUGCUUUGCUGUCAUAUAUAUUUGGACUCGUAACGUGUAUACAUAUAUAUAUGCGAACAAAACCAGUAGUGGCAUGAUAAGGCGUCAAGCUAUAUGGAUGCGUCAUAGCUGAAUGGCUUAGCCGAAACAAGCUUGAUAGCUUAAACCUCCAUCGUUCGUUCGACUCGCAAAUACUGCUACUACUACUACUACGACCACAACAAGUGUAGUUGGAACAAAAGUGACAUCGUAAAAUAUUGGAGGGUGACGGGCUGUACUUACGGAUGCACUGCUAGAAGACGAAAAGAAACGAGAAUAGAGGAAGGGGAAACGGAUGAAGAAAGAAAUGGACGUGUGUAAAGGUUGGUGCUGGCCAACAGGUGAACCUUAGCUCAAUCAAAGCCUUUUUUCGGACCGCAGAAGAAAGCUAAGAGAAUUACGAGCUGGUCGUUACAAUUACUGCAGCCUCUAUCGCAUUGCUCGUCCUGCCAUAGCAGCUUCGCCUGCUGCGAUUGAAGCUCUAACUUGAUCGCGCGUGUUAGAAUGACGCAGGAUGAGAAAGGACGCUUGAGAACGUUUUCCUGGAGAUGGAGAAAGAGUUCCUGUUCGUGCUAUAGCAUUGACUGGAACGUUGUCGUUCGCCAGACAAGAUCUGCUAACAUUCAUCUGAUUGUCUAUUGUGAACGCACGUCCGCCAAACUUCGUCGCCGUGGAAAAGUCUCGACAGAAGAGAAAAAAAUAAACGAAAAUUAGGAACGAAAGACGAACAGAUAAAAAAAAAAAAGGCAAGAUCUGAAGUCUGAACCACGGAAGCGGUACUUAUUGUGGUACGGAUUCGAGAAUAAAGGACAGAUUAGGAUGUUAGCUGUGCCCGUGCAAACAAAUUGUUGGAACAGUCUCAGCAAUAUUCCGUUACAAAUUAUGUUUAUAUCCUAAUUUGUUAUUGGAGUGCAUAGUUUUAUUGUGAUCUUCGCCAAUUUUCAUAAUAGUCAGUAGAUUCUGGAGGCUCAUCAGCCGUUUACCCGAAUGCAAAAUAACCCCAGAUAAGCAGCAUACAAAGAAUUCUCGAGAAGGUUACGAGAAGUAACGAAGCAUGUCAAGGAAGCGGUUAAUUAAGUCGACUUUUUUCUUUCAACAGUCGCUUUAUGGCCAUAGUCAAUGAAAAUGGUAAUAUUUCAUAAUUAGGAGAAUAGUAAAAUCAGGCCACUCUAACACUCCAACGAGGCCUGGAAUCAAGCCGAUGUAAAAAGAAAUAUCCGCCUUCAAAAUAAACUCGCUUAUUUAUCGCGACACUCAGCGUCCUUUAUCGCCCCAGACGUCCUUGUUAUCAAAAUAAAAUUUCGUUUAACGUCAACGUCGAGAUGCGCUCCCCCGUUUCGAGAAGCUGGCUGAAGGUUUCCCGCGGUCGUGCUGUGAAAUCUGAAGCCAUUGAUAAUCCGAACACAAAAAGCACAAGAUGGGACAAUUUGAGAUGAGCCUGAACUAGGGCAAAAAAAACUUUUUCAAUCAUUGCUGUUCCCUUCAAGACAGUCGCUUCUAGAUAAACCUAUUUUCGACCAUCAAGCUCACAUAGAACUCGUUUCGUAUUUGUAGUUCUUCAAAUCCGAGCAGUACGAAAAAACUUUGACACUCAUCACGAAGACUACUAAAAUAAGCUAUUCCAAAUGAUGGGAAAAGCCAGAGAACUGAAAAUGGCGAGAAAAAUCAAAAUUAAUUUAAUAUUAAAAAACUUACAGUAUCGCGACACA
Molecule: long non-coding RNA, 3182 nt
Filed under: Varroa destructor (honeybee mite)
Lineage: Eukaryota; Metazoa; Arthropoda; Arachnida; Mesostigmata; Varroidae
Description: uncharacterized LOC111246818, transcript variant X1
Source: RNAcentral